UCUCGGACCAGGCUUCAUUCC
RNAcentral lists this microRNA (21 nucleotides) under Citrus sinensis (sweet orange). RNAcentral's name for it is "csi-miR166g-3p". Its record names the gene csi-miR166b-3p. RNAcentral also lists the same sequence under 12 other names. Lineage: Eukaryota; Viridiplantae; Streptophyta; Magnoliopsida; Sapindales; Rutaceae. The record is from miRBase by way of RNAcentral.